AUGAAACUAAACUGACCGGAACAAACACAGGAAGCCGAAGUGUGACACAGGCCGAACCGCGAGCAGCGGCCACAGGCACGAACAGCCGCUAAUUAACGGAAAGCUCGGCUCGGCUCGGUUGCGUAGGAACAGAACCACCAGAGUCUCUGAGGAGCAAGAGACGCGCGAUGAGUUGACGAGGACCCGAUCUGCGCCCAAAUCAAAGUUACAAACCUCCACGAACGUGGCGUCUCGCGCUCGUCGAGCUGUUGCUGCAGGUGUUCGGAAUGAGUUGAUGAAGAACCGUUUACUCACAUGUGAAACUCCUGCGUUAAGCUGCGGGUCGGUCUCUCCUUCACACCGUCACCGCUCAGCGCUGCCAGGUCCCAUCCGGACUCCAGGCGCAAAGUGGCGGAUCCAUGAGCGGCAAACUCCGCGGCGCAAACAAAUUGAAAAGUGUUGAGUGAAAUUUUCGAUGAAAUUCAAGACGGCUUUGACGCUCGUGGGUGUUUAAUCCAAGCAGAGGGGCGUCGGUAAAUAAGGGAAGGGUUCUUGAGUCCAGCCGGGAGGGGAAAGUGCGCACCGGGCGGCUUCACCGCGUCUGCCGCGCUUCCUCCCGCAUCUCAGCCGCUUUAAUCCUCCAGAUGCGGCUCCAGCUUUUCUUUAAUUCCCCCUUUAAUCCCGAAAACACGCCCGUCUACCUUAGGAGACGUAAGGUUUCAUUCUUCUCCAGGAGGAAACAUUUGAAGGAAAGUGCGAAGUUUGGCGUCAGACUGGAGCGCGGCGACGGCGGGACUGAGCGCUCAGACUCCCUUCAUCCCCGCCGCUUGAUCGCCCCGUGGACGCGCGGGGAGAGAGAGUGGGAGAGAAAGAGAGAAAGGGGAGCUGGAAACAAGCAGGUCCAGGUUUCCCGUGAGCCUGAACCGGAGUCUCCCCCUUGUGUUCGUCACCAGCUGAACCUAAGACACGUUAGAGCUCUGCAGCCGCUGCUCAGCUGUUUCUGA
This 983-nucleotide long non-coding RNA is filed under the name Betta splendens (Siamese fighting fish). RNAcentral describes it as "lncRNA (ENSBSLG00000003145.1)". The record is from RNAcentral. Lineage: Eukaryota; Metazoa; Chordata; Actinopteri; Anabantiformes; Osphronemidae.